This 590-nucleotide ribosomal RNA is filed under the name uncultured fungus. RNAcentral describes it as "eukaryotic LSU rRNA". It matches the Rfam family "Eukaryotic large subunit ribosomal RNA", at positions 40 to 584 of the family's 3401-position model. The record is from RNAcentral. Lineage: Eukaryota; Fungi.
AUAUCAAUAAGCCCAGGAAAAGAAAGCAACUGCGAUGGCCACAGUAACGGCGAGUGAACAGGCCAUAGCCCAUCCCAGAAGCAGCAUGGUGGCUUCCGGCCAUCAGGCCAUGCUGCGUUGUAGGGUAAGCACCUAUCGGCGAAAGGGUCCCAGACAGGAAGGUUGCCUGGAACGGCACUGCCACGGAGCGUGAUAGCCGCGUUGCACUGUCUGUGGAUUCGGUAAAGCUGGUGGGAGGCAAGAGUCGGGCUGUUUGGGAGUGCAGCUCUAAUUGUGAGGUAUACCCCUCAUAAGGCUAAAUAUUGGCACGAGACCGAUAGCGAACAAGUAGAGUGAUCGAAAGAUGCAAAGAACUUUGAAAAGAGAGUUAAAAGUGCGUGAAACUGUGGAGUGGUAAGGGAUGGAGACCCAUCCAAAAACGGGGUGUGUGCUGUUCAAGCCUCCCCCGAGCAGCUCGAGUUCGUCGGCCCCCAUCGGCUAUGCCUGAGCUACCCCGCUUUCGGGCGUGGUAGUCGGCGUGGUGUCUUGGAGUGGUGGCAGAUUGACCCGCAGGCAUGCGAGGGAGUGCAUCCAAGGGGUUCUACGUGCGU